CCUACGGGGGGCAGCAGUGAGGAAUAUUGGUCAAUGGACGAGAGUCUGAACCAGUCAAGUAGCGUGAAGGAUGACUGCCCUAUGGGUUGUAAACUUCUUUUAUAAAGGAAUAAAACGAGGCACGUGUGCCUUUUUGCAUGUACUUUAUGAAUAAGGAUCGGCUAACUCCGUGCCAGCAGCCGCGGUAAUACGGAGGAUCCGAGCGUUAUCCGGAUUUAUUGGGUUUAAAGGGAGCGUAGAUGGGUUGUUAAGUCAGUUGUGAAAGUUUGCGGCUCAACCGUAAAAUUGCAAUUGAUACUGGUAGUCUUGAGUACAGUUGAGGUAGGCGGAAUUCGUGGUGUAGCGGUGAAAUGCUUAGAUAUCACGAAGAACCCCGAUUGCGAAGGCAGCUUACUAAACUGUGACUGACAUUGAUGCUCGAAAGUGUGGGUAUCAAACAGGAUUAGAUACCCCUGUAGUC
This 460-nucleotide ribosomal RNA is filed under the name uncultured bacterium. RNAcentral's name for it is "partial 16S ribosomal RNA". It matches the Rfam family "Bacterial small subunit ribosomal RNA", at positions 338 to 795 of the family's 1533-position model. The record is from RNAcentral.